GGAUGUGAGGGCGAUCUGGCCACGACAUCUGUUACCCCAUUGAUCUCCACGGUUGAUUCGGCUGAUCUGGCUGGCUAGGCGGGUGUCCCCUCCCUCACUGCUCCAUGUGUGUCCCUCCCGAAGCUGCGCGCUCGGUCGAAGAGGACAACCUUCCCCGAUAGAGGAGGACCGUUCUUCAGUCAAGGGUAUACGAGUAGCUGCGCUCCCCUACUGGAACCUCCAAACAGGCUCUCAAGAAACAGGGCCUAACAAGCCCCCCUCCCUUUGUAAAUAACCACCUUCCUGGGCUUGGU
Ursus americanus (American black bear) is the source of this 293-nucleotide unclassified non-coding RNA. Its record names the gene 7SK. It matches the Rfam family "7SK RNA". From Rfam's summary of the family: 7SK was discovered as an abundant small nuclear RNA in the mid-70s but a possible function has only recently been suggested. NCBI's taxonomy places the organism in Eukaryota, Metazoa, Chordata, Mammalia, Carnivora, Ursidae. The record is from Ensembl.